ACGGGGGGUGCAAGCGUUGUUCGGAAUUAUUGGGCGUAAAGAGCGCGUAGGCGGCUGAAUAAGUGAGAUGUGAAAUCCAUGGGCUUAACUCAGGAAGUGCAUUGGAAACUAUUCAGCUUGAGUAGGGGAGAGGAAAGUGGAAUUCCUGGUGUAGAGGUGAAAUGCGUAGAUAUCAGGAGGAACACCAGUGGCGAAGGCGACUUUCUGGCCCUAUACUGACGCUGAGGCGCGAGAGCGUGGGUAGCAAACAG
RNAcentral lists this ribosomal RNA (251 nucleotides) under uncultured prokaryote. RNAcentral describes it as "partial 16S rRNA". It matches the Rfam family "Bacterial small subunit ribosomal RNA", at positions 525 to 775 of the family's 1533-position model. The record is from RNAcentral.